This 1046-nucleotide long non-coding RNA is filed under the name Sorghum bicolor (sorghum). Its description in RNAcentral is "long non-coding RNA (SBIC_LNC014874)". Lineage: Eukaryota; Viridiplantae; Streptophyta; Magnoliopsida; Poales; Poaceae. The record is from RNAcentral.
CCACAAUAAUGUUAAACUCAUCUCGUAUCAACAUUUAAGCAUUACUAUGGCAUGCAUUGGGAAUUAGAGGUGCACACCGACGUCGAGAAUUACCUAAAUUACCAUAUAUAAUGUUUGUAAAGCUGUAGCACACACAUAAUCAAGAUAAAUUGGGCACCCAACUUCAACUAGCAAAACUUUAGGCAUGGCAGGCAUGAGGAAUAUUAGGGAACCUAGAGCAGAGCCAGUGUCUCCACAUGCUUCCCAUCUGUUAGGAAAAGUGGCAGACCUUCGAAGGCUUGAUCGGUGCCAAAAAAUUUUGGUUCAUCUGAUGUGCAAACUGUUUCCACUGUAUCCAUGCUGCACGGAUAGAUGCUGCCUGAAGAAGUAACGGAUUGCACGGAUGCGACUGCUAGCUCACAACAGAGUAGGACCUUUGAUGGCUUAACUCGAGUGACAAGGAUGCAGCAACAGACUUUAUUGGGCAUAGCUUUACUUUCUCCGGCACCCUGCCAAUUCCAGGUCACUGCCCCCACAUCGCUCUAUCGACAAGUGGAUCACCUAUGGUACAGCUGCCACUUGGAGUAUAUCAGUCUAGUCAUUCACUUACAGUCUGGCCCCAAUAACCACGCAUAGGCCAAGCUAUCGUUUCAAGGGUGCUGACCAGCUGGUGCUAGGCGGACUGCACGAUUGAAAAGGAGACAAAAAAAAAGGACAUAUUACAAGCUAAAUUUGGAACCUAAUAGUUUUGGGCAAAGAAAUUUAAGUUGGUGUAUGUUUUCUUGAUAAGACAUGGCCAUGAUGAUUCAAGAACAAAAAAUGGCAGAAAUUCCGUAUUCUACAAAUUGAUGAUGGGGAGUCCUAUAUGAUCGCAUAUGUUUUUGUUGAGAGGUGGGGGCGUCAAUGACAUAUGAUACACACGCUGAACCAAAAAUGACAUUUGUUGAAUACAUUUCAAAUGGCCCGCUUUCGCAGCUGAAUGCUCAGAGCUGAGGGUUCUUGAAGAUUAACAAAAGUGUCCAUGCUAAUAUUGUAUCCCGUUGGUUUCCCAACUUUGUGUAUGCAUG